UAAAAGUUUAAAUCAGAUGGACGUUUCAUUGGACGUUUAUAUGAGGGAACAAGCGUGAGAGGGAUCCCAAGUGAAGACAGGUGACAAAGCCCUUCACACCAUGGAAAGCCAAAGGAAUGUCGAAGAACUGGUGAGUGUCGAUGCCCAUGAGGCCAGGAAACUCCUGAAUUCUGGUCACCGUUACUUGGACGUGAGGAUGAGGGAGGACUUUGAGAAAGGACAUGUGGAGGGCGCCAUCAACGUUCCGUUCUACUCAUCUGUUACUCCUCAAGG
Phoenix dactylifera (date palm) is the source of this 273-nucleotide non-coding RNA. The record is from RefSeq and is a predicted model, not a curated record. Lineage: Eukaryota; Viridiplantae; Streptophyta; Magnoliopsida; Arecales; Arecaceae.